UACAGAGGUCUCAAGCGUUGUUCGGAAUUACUGGGCGUAAAGUGUGCGCAGGUGGCCGCGCAAGUCGAGUGUGAAAUCCCCGAGCUUAACUUGGGAAUUGCGCUCGAAACUACGUGGCUCGAGUGUGGCAGAGGAAGGUGGAAUUCCACGUGUAGCGGUGAAAUGCGUAGAGAUGUGGAGGAACACCGAUGGCGAAGGCAGCCUUCUGGGCCAACACUGACGCUCAUGCACGAAAGCGUGGGGAGCAAACAGG
This 253-nucleotide ribosomal RNA is filed under the name uncultured bacterium. RNAcentral's name for it is "partial 16S ribosomal RNA". It matches the Rfam family "Bacterial small subunit ribosomal RNA", at positions 524 to 776 of the family's 1533-position model. The record is from RNAcentral.